Molecule: ribosomal RNA, 484 nt
Filed under: uncultured bacterium
Lineage: Bacteria
Description: partial 16S ribosomal RNA
Rfam family: Bacterial small subunit ribosomal RNA
Source: RNAcentral
AUUGAACGCUGGCGGCAGGCCUAACACAUGCAAGUCGAGCGGCAGAAGGGAGCUUGCUCCUGGAUUCGGCGGCGGACGGGUGGGUAAUGCCUAGGAAUCUGCCUGGUUGUGGGGGAUAACGUCCGGAAACGGGCGCUAAUACCGCAUACGUCCUGAGGGAGAAAGUGGGGGAUCUUCGGACCUCACGCUCUCAGAUGAGCCUAGGUCGGAUUAGCUAGUUGGUGGGGUAAAGGCCUACCAAGGCGACGAUCCGUAGCUGGUCUGAGAGGAUGAUCAGUCACACUGGAACUGAGACACGGUCCAGACUCCUACGGGAGGCAGCAGUGGGGAAUAUUGGACAAUGGGCGAAAGCCUGAUCCAGCCAUGCCGCGUGUGUGAAGAAGGUCUUCGGAUUGUAAAGCACUUUUGGUUGGGAGGAAGGGCAGUAAGUUAAUACCUUGCUGUUUUGACGUUACCAAAAGAAUAAGCACCGGCUAACUUCGUG